RNAcentral lists this ribosomal RNA (805 nucleotides) under Neodeightoniella phragmiticola. RNAcentral's name for it is "eukaryotic LSU rRNA". It matches the Rfam family "Eukaryotic large subunit ribosomal RNA", at positions 66 to 900 of the family's 3401-position model. The record is from RNAcentral. Lineage: Eukaryota; Fungi; Ascomycota; Dothideomycetes; Mycosphaerellales; Mycosphaerellaceae.
CAACAGGGAUUGCCCUAGUAACGGCGAGUGAAGCGGCAACAGCUCAAAUUUGAAAUCUGGCGCAAGCCCGAGUUGUAAUUUGUAGAGGAUGCUUCUGGGUAGCGACCGAUCUAAGUUCCUUGGAACAGGACGUCAUAGAGGGUGAGAAUCCCGUAUGUGACCGGCCCGCACCCUCCACGUAGCUCCUUCGACGAGUCGAGUUGUUUGGGAAUGCAGCUCUAAAUGGGAGGUAAAUUUCUUCUAAAGCUAAAUACCGGCCAGAGACCGAUAGCGCACAAGUAGAGUGAUCGAAAGAUGAAAAGUACUUUGGAAAGAGAGUUAAAAAGCACGUGAAAUUGUUGAAAGGGAAGCGCCUGCAACCAGACUUCGCGGCAGUGUUCCGCCGGUCUUCUGACCGGUUCACUCUCUGUCGCGAGGCCAUCAUCGUCUGGGCCCGCCGGAUAAGACCGGAGGAAUGUAGCUCACCUUCGGGGGAGUGUUAUAGCCUCUGGUGAUGCGGCGAGGCUCGGGCGAGGUCCGCGCUUCGGCAAGGAUGAUGGCGUAAUGGUUGUCGGCGGCCCGUCUUGAAACACGGACCAAGGAGUCUAACAUCUAUGCGAGUGUUCGGGUGUCAAACCCCUACGCGUAAUGAAAGUGAACGGAGGUGGGAACCGCAAGGUGCACCAUCGACCGAUCCUGAUGUCCUCGGAUGGAUUUGAGUAAGAGCAUAGCUGUUGGGACCCGAAAGAUGGUGAACUAUGCCUGAAUAGGGUGAAGCCAGAGGAAACUCUGGUGGAGGCUCGCAGCGGUUCUGACGUGCAAAUCG